Molecule: transfer RNA, 66 nt
Filed under: Deltaproteobacteria bacterium
Lineage: Bacteria; Pseudomonadati; Myxococcota; Myxococcia
Description: tRNA-Gly
Rfam family: tRNA
About the family: Transfer RNA (tRNA) molecules are approximately 80 nucleotides in length. Their secondary structure includes four short double-helical elements and three loops (D, anti-codon, and T loops).
Source: RNAcentral
GGAGUAGCUCAGUUGGUAGAGCGCCACGUUGCCAACGUGAUGGCCGCGGGUUCGAUCCCCGUCUCC